This 460-nucleotide ribosomal RNA is filed under the name uncultured bacterium. RNAcentral's name for it is "partial 16S ribosomal RNA". It matches the Rfam family "Bacterial small subunit ribosomal RNA", at positions 338 to 795 of the family's 1533-position model. The record is from RNAcentral.
CCUACGGGGGGCAGCAGUGAGGAAUAUUGGUCAAUGGGCUUACGCCUGAACCAGCCAAGUCGCGUGAGGGAAGACUGCCCUAUGGGUUGUAAACCUCUUUUGUCAGGGAGCAACGCCGGCUACGUGUAGCCGGACUGAGAGUACCUGAAGAAAAAGCAUCGGCUAACUCCGUGCCAGCAGCCGCGGUAAUACGGAGGAUGCGAGCGUUAUCCGGAUUUAUUGGGGUUAAAGGGUGCGUAGGCGGAAUGCCAAGUCAGCGGUAAAAUCGCGGGGCUCAACCUCGCUCCGCCGUUGAAACUGGCGGUCUUGAGUGGGCGAGAAGUAUGCGGAAUGCGUGGUGUAGCGGUGAAAUGCAUAGAUAUCACGCAGAACUCCGAUUGCGAAGGCAGCAUACCGGCGCCCAACUGACGCUGAAGCACGAAAGCGUGGGUAUCGAACAGGAUUAGAUACCCCUGUAGUC